UAGGGAAUCUUCCGCAAUGGGCGAAAGCCUGACGGAGCAACGCCGCGUGAGUGAUGAAGGUCUUCGGAUCGUAAAACUCUGUUAUUAGGGAAGAACAACUGUGUAAGUAACUAUGCACGUCUUGACGGUGCCUAAUCAGAAAGCCACGGCUAACUACGUGCCAGCAGCCGCGGUAAUACGUAGGUGGCAAGCGUUAUCCGGAAUUAUUGGGCGUAAAGCGCGCGUAGGCGGUUUUUUAAGUCUGAUGUGAAAGCCCACGGCUCAACCGUGGAGGGUCAUUGGAAACUGGAAAACUUGAGUGCAGAAGAGGAAAGUGGAAUUCCAUGUGUAGCGGUGAAAUGCGCAGAGAUAUGGAGGAACACCAGUGGCGAAGGCGACUUUCUGGUCUGUAACUGACGCUGAUGUGCGAAAGCGUGGGGAUCAAACAGG
RNAcentral lists this ribosomal RNA (429 nucleotides) under Actinomycetes bacterium. Its description in RNAcentral is "Actinobacteria bacterium partial 16S ribosomal RNA". It matches the Rfam family "Bacterial small subunit ribosomal RNA", at positions 355 to 776 of the family's 1533-position model. Lineage: Bacteria; Bacillati; Actinomycetota; Actinomycetes. The record is from RNAcentral.